UUCCCUCCGAAGUUUCCUUCAGUAUAGCUGGCACUCGCCCGUUCUGCACGGAACAUGCGCGAGUCUCAUCUGGUAAAGCGAAUGAGGCCUUGGGGUCGAAACGACCUCAAACGACCUAUUCUCAAACUUUAAAUGAGUGACAUCUCUGAUUUCUUGAACUGUGAAGUCACGAGUAGAAAUUUGGAUCAGAAUGCCAAGUGGGCCAUUUUUGGUAAACAGAACUGGCGCUGUGGGAUGAACCAAACGCAGAGUUAAGGCGCCUAACUCGACGCUCAUGGGACACCACAAAAGGCGUUGGUUGCUUAAGACAACAGGACGGUGGCUAUGGAAGUCGGAAUCUGCUAAGGAGUGUGUAACAACUCACCUGCCGAAGCAGCUAACCCUGAAAAUGGAUGGCGCUGAAGCGUCGAACCUAUACUCUGCCGUCAGCGACAAGUGGGGCGGCCGCAUGCUCGCACACGCCGCCACGAAGCCCUGACGAGUAGAAGGGUCGCGGCGAUGUGCGCAGAAGGGUCUGGGCGCAAGCCUGCCUGGAACCGCCGUCGGUG
Molecule: non-coding RNA, 548 nt
Filed under: Acromyrmex echinatior (Panamanian leafcutter ant)
Lineage: Eukaryota; Metazoa; Arthropoda; Insecta; Hymenoptera; Formicidae
Description: Eukaryotic large subunit ribosomal RNA
Rfam family: Eukaryotic large subunit ribosomal RNA
Source: Rfam by way of RNAcentral